UACCAGCUCUCCGAGUGGUGUGGAUGUUUAUUGGGCCUAAAGCAUCCGUAGCUGGCUGGACAAGUCCCCUGUUAAAUCCACCGAUUUAAUCGUUGGUGUGCGGGGGAUACUGUUCGGCUAGGGGACGGGAGAGGCCGACGGUAUUUCCGGGGUAGGGGUGAAAUCCUAUAAUCCCGGGAAGACCACCAGUGGCGAAGGCUGUCGGCUAGAACGCGCCCGACGGUGAGGGAUGAAAGCUGGGGGAGCGAACCGGAUUAGAUACCCGGGUAGUCCCAGCUGUAAACGAUGCAGGCUAGGUGUUUGGGCGGCCACGUGCCGCUCUAGUGCCGCAAGGAAGCUGUUAAGCCUGCCGCCUGGGGAGUACGGCCGCAAGGCUGAAACUCAAAGGAAUUGGCGGGGGAGCACCACAAGGGGUGAAGCUUGCGGUUU
Molecule: ribosomal RNA, 429 nt
Filed under: uncultured archaeon
Lineage: Archaea
Description: bacterial SSU rRNA
Rfam family: Archaeal small subunit ribosomal RNA
Source: RNAcentral